Molecule: ribosomal RNA, 435 nt
Filed under: uncultured bacterium
Lineage: Bacteria
Description: bacterial SSU rRNA
Rfam family: Bacterial small subunit ribosomal RNA
Source: RNAcentral
AACGCGAAGAACCUUACCUAAGCUUGACAUCCUUUUGACCUCUCCCUAAUCGGAGAUUUCCCUUCGGGGACAGAAGUGACAGGUGGUGCAUGGUUGUCGUCAGCUCGUGGCGUGAGAUGUUGGGUUAAGUCCCGCAACGAGCGCAACCCUUGCCUUUAGUUGCCAGCAUUAAGUUGGGCACUCUAGAGGGACUGCCAGGGAUAACCUGGAGGAAGGUGGGGAUGACGUCAAAUCAUCAUGCCCCUUAUGCUUAGGGCUACACACGUGCUACGAUGGGUGGUACAGAGGGCAGCCAAGCCGUGAGGUGGAGCAAAUCCCCUAAAGCCAUUCUCAGUUCGGAUUGUAGGCUGAAACUCGCCUACAUGAAGCUGGAGUUACUAGUAAUCGCAGAUCAGAAUGCUGCGGUGAAUGCGUUCCCGGGUCUUGUACACACCG